RNAcentral lists this non-coding RNA (148 nucleotides) under Nomascus leucogenys (northern white-cheeked gibbon). Lineage: Eukaryota; Metazoa; Chordata; Mammalia; Primates; Hylobatidae. The record is from Rfam by way of RNAcentral.
GCUGGGCACGGUGGCGCGUGCCUGUAAUCCGAGCUGCUCAGGAGGCUGAGGCACAAGAAUCACUUGAACUCAGGAGGUGGAGGUUGCAGUGAGCCUAGAUCAUGCCACUGCAUUCCAGCCUGGGUGACAGAGUGAGACUCCGUCUCAA